AUUGAACGCUGGCGGCGUGCCUAAUACAUGCAAGUCGAGCGGAUCUUCAUUAGCUUGCUUUUGAAGAUCAGCGGCGGACGGGUGAGUAACACGUGGGCAACCUGCCUGUAAGACUGGGAUAACUUCGGGAAACCGGAGCUAAUACCGGAUAAUCCUUUCCCUCACAUGAGGAAAAGCUGAAAGACGGCUUCUCGCUGUCA
This 200-nucleotide ribosomal RNA is filed under the name uncultured bacterium. RNAcentral describes it as "partial 16S ribosomal RNA". It matches the Rfam family "Bacterial small subunit ribosomal RNA", at positions 30 to 223 of the family's 1533-position model. The record is from RNAcentral.